AUUGAACGCUGGCGGCAGGCCUAACACAUGCAAGUCGAGCGAGCGGCGGACGGGUGAGUAAUGUAUGGGGACUGCCCGAUAGAGGGGGAUAACUACUGGAACCGGUAGCUAAUACCGCAUACUAUCGGAUAACCCAUAUGGGAUUAGAUAGUAGGUGAGGUAAUGGCUCAACGAGGCGACGAGCCCUAGCUGGUCUGAGAGGAUGAUCAGCCACACUGGGACGCAGACACGGCCCAGACUCCUACGGCGGCAGCAGUGGGGAAUAUGGCACAAUGGGUGCAAGCCUUAUGCAGCCAUGCCGCGUGUAUGAAGAAGGCCCUAGGGUUGUAAAGUACUUGCAGUCGGGAGGCGUUACCGACAGAAGAAGCACCGGCUAACUCCGUGCCAGUAGCGGCGGUAAUAC
Molecule: ribosomal RNA, 403 nt
Filed under: uncultured bacterium
Lineage: Bacteria
Description: partial 16S ribosomal RNA
Rfam family: Bacterial small subunit ribosomal RNA
Source: RNAcentral